UUUUCAUUAGCUUAAUGGUAGAGCAGGGUUUAUAUUGUGAUCCUUCGGAAGCAAUGCAAGCAAACCAGGAUCCGAGUUCAAGUCUUGGAUGAGAAU
Molecule: transfer RNA, 96 nt
Filed under: Spathularia flavida
Lineage: Eukaryota; Fungi; Ascomycota; Leotiomycetes; Rhytismatales; Cudoniaceae
Description: tRNA-Asn
Rfam family: tRNA
About the family: Transfer RNA (tRNA) molecules are approximately 80 nucleotides in length. Their secondary structure includes four short double-helical elements and three loops (D, anti-codon, and T loops).
Source: RNAcentral